UUACAGCAGGUAAUGUCAGGUGACACUGUAAAGGUUCAUAAAAAUAACUUAUUACAGCAGGUAACUUCUGGUGACUUUCAGCAAGAUCAGGGGCAUGUGGAUCUGAUCACCCUCACAGUUGUCCACUGCAUCACUGGCGGUCAUCGAUACAUCUAUUAGCUUACCCGAAUCUGACAACCUUUUUAUCCCCCGGCGUGACCUCUUUAACGGAACAUCGUAGUCGAGCCAUUUCUCGGGGUAAGGGUGUUCGUCAUUCGCCUUCCCGUCCAUGAAAUGG
Molecule: long non-coding RNA, 277 nt
Organism: Carassius carassius (crucian carp)
Lineage: Eukaryota; Metazoa; Chordata; Actinopteri; Cypriniformes; Cyprinidae
Exons: 3
Source: RefSeq, a predicted model, not a curated record